Molecule: ribosomal RNA, 492 nt
Filed under: uncultured bacterium
Lineage: Bacteria
Description: partial 16S ribosomal RNA
Rfam family: Bacterial small subunit ribosomal RNA
Source: RNAcentral
AGUGAACGCUGGCGGUAGGCCUAACACAUGCAAGUCGAACGGCAGCACAGUAAGAGCUUGCUCUUACGGGUGGCGAGUGGCGGACGGGUGAGGAAUACAUCGGAAUCUACUUUUUCGUGGGGGAUAACGUAGGGAAACUUACGCUAAUACCGCAUACGACCUACGGGUGAAAGCAGGGGAUCUUCGGACCUUGCGCGAUUGAAUGAGCCGAUGUCGGAUUAGCUAGUUGGCGGGGUAAAGGCCCACCAAGGCGACGAUCCGUAGCUGGUCUGAGAGGAUGAUCCGCCACCCUGGAACUGAGACACGGUCCCGACUCCUACGGGAGGCAGCAGUGGGGAAUAUUGGACAAUUGGCGCAAGCCUGAACCAGCCCUACCGCGUGGGUGAAGAAGGCCUUCGGGUUGUAAAGCCCUUUUUUUGGGAAAGAAAAGCAGCAGGUUAAUACCCCGCUGUUCUGACGGUACCCAAAGAAUAAGCACCGGCUAACUUCGUG